Molecule: ribosomal RNA, 513 nt
Filed under: Candidatus Woesearchaeota archaeon
Lineage: Archaea; Nanobdellati; Candidatus Woesearchaeota
Description: partial 23S ribosomal RNA
Rfam family: Archaeal large subunit ribosomal RNA
Source: RNAcentral
GAUUGACACAUCGUACACUGUUAGGUGGAUGACUAGGCUCGGAACGCCGAAGAAGGACGUGACAAGCAACGAUAUGCUCUGGCGAGUUGAACGUAAGCUUUGAACCAGAGAUUUCCGAAUGAGUCUUCUCAUUAGGGCCUUAUAGGCCAGGGAACGCAGGGAAUUGAAGCGUCUUGGUACCUGCAGGAAAAGAAAUCAAAGAGAUGCCGUUAGUAAGAGCGACCGAAAGCGGCCAAGUUCAAACUGAAUUCAUUAUAGUAAUAUAAUGGAGAUGUGGUGCAUGGACUUACCUUAUAACCUAUUUCUAAACUUGAAGUUUUCUGGAAAGAAACACUUAAGAGGGUGAUAGUCCCGUAAAGGAAUAGAAGUAGGUUUUAGUGAGUAUCCGGAGUACCAUUCCUUGAAAUUGGAGUGGGAAGAUGGGGGGCAUUAACCUCUAAAACUAAACACGUGCCGAAUCCGAUAGAAAAAGAGUACCGUGAGGGAAAGUUGAAAAGAACCCGCGAUAGGGAG